CUUUCUCUCUCUCUCUCUUUCUCCUCUCUCUCUCUCUCUCUCUCUCUCUCUCUCUCUCUCUCUCUCUCUCUCUCUCUCUCUCUCUCUCUAUGGAGUGGCACUGCGACACAGAGUGAUUGAACCUUUAGAUAUUGAGGCAGGCGGAGAUCAAAAACGUCCUGUAGUUAUUGAUUUGUAGGGACGGAGAGGUGCCUGAGGAAUGAUUUGUAGGGAAGGAGAGGUGCCUGAGGAAUGAUUUGUAGGGAGGGAGAGGUGCCUGAGGAAUGAUUUGUAGGGAAGGAGAGGUGCCUGAGGAAUGAUUUGUAGGGAAGGAGAGGAGCCUGAGGAAUGAUUUGUAGGGACGGAGAGGUGCCUGAGGAAUGAUUUGUAGGGAAGGAGAGGUGCCUGAGGAAUGAUUUGUAGGGAAGGAGAGG
Oncorhynchus tshawytscha (Chinook salmon) is the source of this 413-nucleotide long non-coding RNA. The record is from Ensembl. NCBI's taxonomy places the organism in Eukaryota, Metazoa, Chordata, Actinopteri, Salmoniformes, Salmonidae.